Molecule: ribosomal RNA, 496 nt
Filed under: uncultured bacterium
Lineage: Bacteria
Description: partial 16S ribosomal RNA
Rfam family: Bacterial small subunit ribosomal RNA
Source: RNAcentral
AUGAACGCUGGCGGCGUGCCUAAUACAUGCAAGUCGAGCGAACAGACGAGGAGCUUGCUCCUCUGACGUUAGCGGCGGACGGGUGAGUAACACGUGGAUAACCUACCUAUAAGACUGGGAUAACUUCGGGAAACCGGAGCUAAUACCGGAUAAUAUAUUGAACCGCAUGGUUCAAUAGUGAAAGACGGUUUUGCUGUCACUUAUAGAUGGAUCCGCGCCGCAUUAGCUAGUUGGUAAGGUAACGGCUUACCAAGGCGACGAUGCGUAGCCGACCUGAGAGGGUGAUCGGCCACACUGGAACUGAGACACGGUCCAGACUCCUACCGGAGGCAGCAGUAGGGAAUCUUCCGCAAUGGGCGAAAGCCUGACGGAGCAACGCCGCGUGAGUGAUGAAGGUCUUCGGAUCGUAAAACUCUGUUAUUAGGGAAGAACAAAUGUGUAAGUAACUAUGCACGUCUUGACGGUACCUAAUCAGAAAGCCACGGCUAACUACGUG